RNAcentral lists this long non-coding RNA (1416 nucleotides) under Echeneis naucrates (live sharksucker). RNAcentral describes it as "lncRNA (ENSENLG00000009769.1)". The record is from RNAcentral. Lineage: Eukaryota; Metazoa; Chordata; Actinopteri; Carangiformes; Echeneidae.
CCAAAUGCAGGCACAGUCUUGUUCACAACAUUGAUUUUCAUUUUGUCCUGACAGGGAGACAAGAGGAGGAUCUGUUUCUCCAGCAGGUAGAGGCCAGAGAAACCAGGAGACGUUACGAACACAGCUGCAAGACACUGGAGGAGCUAACAGACAGCUACAGAGUUCACAGCACUGAUCUAACAAAGACUGUCUCUCAGUAUUCACAAACCCAACAAGAGGUCCGCCACAUCAGAUCACUUGUGUCUGAACUGAAAGAUGAGGUCCGGACUCUUAUUCUUCGAGAACACGAACCAACGCUGUCAUUGUCAGCACACACAUCAGGGGCAUCACCGCUUGCUAUUCCACAUGGUCACAGCAGCAGAGUCAGAGCCAGUGAGCCAGACUCUGACUCAGAGGACUUUAGUCCAACCCCUAGCCUGGAUGAAGUCAGCUCAGAUGAUCUCUCAUGGCUGGAUGACAAAGAGCCCGGUAAGGAUUAUAGUAAAAGGUGUGAAAGCAUGGUCGCUUUGUGCAACAUGAGGUGUUGUAUGCUGAAUAAUCUACGCCAAAUGUUUCUAUUAUUUCACUUCCACAAGCCUUCUGUUCACCUUCAUGUGCAGCAACAGAAACAUAUUUUGACCAUUGGAUAAUGUUACAUCCAACAGAAAACGUUACACAAGGUACCAGCUUGCUUCCCAUCUUGUUUCAGCAAGAUGGGAAGUGUAGUUGUCCCCCCCCCCCACUUUUCACUGAAGUUCUGAUUCCUCACAGAAGAUUUGACUCACUGGAAAGAACUCCUGCAAACAGUUGGUUAACGAAUAGUGUGACAUUUUGCUAAUAAGAUGAAAUCACUCACUUUCUCACUGAAUUUUAAAUGAAAAGGAUGAUUAAAAACUGUCCUGGAGUGCCUUGCUGGGUCCCGUGUAAUGUCAAUGACAACAGGUGUCACUUCUCCUUGCCUGUACAUGGUACAUAUUAGUCUGACCCACAUUCUUUUUACACUUCAGUUUUUUUCAGCAGAUUUAGUUUUGGUUGUUGUUGUUUGUUGUUUUUUGUUUUUUUUACAGACCAAGGAUAGGUGUUUACUACUCUCAUCCUACUAAUCUUUUUCCUAAGCUAAGCAUGCCUUACAGACAUGAUCUUUCAUCUCAAUGUCAGCAAGAAAGCAAAUUAACAAGUUUGCUGAAAUCUUAGUCUAUUACUUAAAUGUAUCAUAACAGAAGGUGAUGUACAUAAAGGCAGGGAAGUGUUAAAAAAUUUGGCUCUAGAGAUAAACAGAACAUUGUUAGCAAGUUUGUGGUCUACUGUUUUCUUCUGCCUGCAGAUUAAACAGUAAAAGUCUCAUUUCCUCUCCACAAGUCUCUGCAAAGCCAGUUGUUUCUGCAAAGUUGUGCAGUGUGUGUGUGUGUGUGUGUGUGUGUGUGUGUGUGUGUGUGU